AGAGUUUGAUCCUGGCUCAGGACGAACGCUGGCGGCGUGCCUAAUACAUGCAAGUCGAGCGGACCGAUGGGAGCUUGCUCCCUUAGGUCAGCGGCGGACGGGUGAGUAACACGUGGGUAACCUGCCUGUAAGACUGGGAUAACUCCGGGAAACCGGGGCUAAUACCGGAUGCUUGAUUGAACCGCAUGGUUCAAUCAUAAAAGGUGGCUUUUAGCUACCACUUACAGAUGGACCCUCGGCGCAUUAUCUAGUUGGUGAGGUAACGGCUCACCAAGGCGACAAUGCGUAGCCGACCUGAGAGGGUGAUCGGCCACACUGGGACUGAGACACGGCCCAGACUCCUACGGGAGGCAGCAAUAGGGAAUCUUCCGCAAUGGACGAAAGUCUGACCGAGCAACACCGCGUGAGUGAUGAAGGUUUUCGGAUCCUAAAACAUCUGUUGUUAGGGAAGAACAAGUACCGUUCGAAUAUGGCGGUACCUUGACGGUACCUAACCAGAAAGCCACGGCUAACUACAUGCCAUCAGCCGCGGUAAUACUUAGGUGGCAAGCGUUGUCCGGAAUUAUUGGGCGUAAAGCGCGCGCAGGCGGUUUCUUAAGUCUGAUGUGAAAGCCCANUGCUCAACAUGAGACGGUCAUUGGAAACUGGCGAACUUGAGUGCACAAGAUGACAGUGAAAUUCCACGUGUAUCGGUGAAAUGCAUAGAGAUG
This 710-nucleotide ribosomal RNA is filed under the name uncultured bacterium. RNAcentral's name for it is "bacterial SSU rRNA". It matches the Rfam family "Bacterial small subunit ribosomal RNA", at positions 8 to 698 of the family's 1533-position model. The record is from RNAcentral.